UGGCGGACGGGUGAGUAACGCGUGGAAAACCUGCCGUAUACUGGGGGAUAACACUUAGAAAUAGGUGCUAAUACCGCAUAAGCGCACAGCUUCGCAUGAAGCGGUGUGAAAAACUCUGGUGGUAUACGAUGGUUCCGCGUCUGAUUAGCUAGUUGGUGGGGUAAUGGCCUACCUAAGGCAACGAUCAGUAGCCGGCCUGAGAGGGUGAACGGCCACAUUGGGACUGAGACACGGCCCAAACUCCUACGGGAGGCAGCAG
RNAcentral lists this ribosomal RNA (259 nucleotides) under uncultured bacterium. RNAcentral's name for it is "partial 16S ribosomal RNA". It matches the Rfam family "Bacterial small subunit ribosomal RNA", at positions 96 to 354 of the family's 1533-position model. The record is from RNAcentral.